AUGUCUGAGGCGUCGGUGGUAAACCAGGCGGAGGUGGAGGACGCGGCGGCGGCGGCGGCGGCCGGGCUGGACCUGCCGCCGGGGUUCCGGUUCCACCCCACGGACGAGGAGAUCAUCUCGCACUACCUCACCCCCAAGGCGCUCGACCACCGCUUCUGCUCCGGCGUCAUCGGCGAGGUCGACCUCAACAAGUGCGAGCCAUGGCAUCUCCCAGGCAAGGCCAAGAUGGGCGAGAAGGAGUGGUACUUCUUUUGCCACAAAGACCGCAAGUACCCGACGGGGACGAGGACGAACCGCGCCACCGAAAGCGGCUACUGGAAGGCCACCGGCAAGGACAAGGAGAUCUUCCGGGGGAGGGGCAUCCUCGUCGGAAUGAAGAAGACGCUCGUCUUCUACCUAGGCCGCGCCCCCCGCGGCGAGAAGACCGGCUGGGUCAUGCACGAGUUCCGCCUCGAGGGCAAGCUCACUCACCCGCUCCCGCGCUCCGCCAAGGACGAGUGGGCCGUGUCCAAGGUGUUCAACAAAGAGCUCACGGCCACCAACGGGGCAAUGGCAGCGGCGGAGGCCGGGAUCGAGCGAGUCAGCUCCUUGGGCUUCAUCACUGACUUCCUUGACUCUGGGGAGCUGCCGCCCCUCAUGGACCCUCCCUUGGGCGGCGACGUCGACGAAGUCAUCGAUUUCAAGUCCACCUCUGCCUACGCCACCGGUGCCCAUUCCGGACUCCAGGUUAAGAUGGAACAGCACAUGCCGCCGCACAUGAUGUACUCGAGCCCCUACUUCUCCCUGCCGGCCGCCAACUCCGGCGACAUGUCGCCGGCGAUCCGGAGGUACUGCAAGGCGGAGCAGGUCUCGGGGCAGACGUCUGCGCUCAGCCCGUCCCGCGAGACCGGGCUGAGCACCGACCCCAACGCCGCCGGUUGCGCGGAGAUCUCAUCGGCGGCGACACCGUCGUCUCAGAAUCAAGAGUUCCUUGACCAAUUCGACGAGUACCCCGCCCUGAACCUCGCCGACAUUUGGAAGUACUGA
RNAcentral lists this ribosomal RNA (1026 nucleotides) under Triticum aestivum (bread wheat). RNAcentral's name for it is "partial small subunit ribosomal RNA". The record is from RNAcentral. Lineage: Eukaryota; Viridiplantae; Streptophyta; Magnoliopsida; Poales; Poaceae.